AUAUAUUUUAAUUUUAGGUAAUAAUAUAUACACGAUUACAUGAUUUCUUUUCAAAGCGUGAUUUUGUUUUGAAUUAUUAUUUUACAUUGCCGGCGCUAUAGUUUCCUCCGCCACUGUAUUCACAAGGAGUAACCGAACAAAACGGUACUCUAAAAAUCAAACGACAAGAAAAAAAGGGAAAAUGCAAGAAUGCGCGAGGUCUUUUUCGUUUUCUCGCCACUUUCAUUUUGAUUUUCAAUUGAAAUAUCUGGUGCCUCUGUGAUUUGUGAAAUUAAUAUAUUCUUUGCGGUUUUAAUUUUUAAGGUGGACUUACAUCUACAUACAAGUUGUGUUUUUAGGGUGGACCUAAGAACACAAAUUAAGUGAACAAAAAUGAUCAAUCACGGAACUCCUACGAAGACGUAGGUCAACGGAAAGUACACCAGCUUCCGUGCCAGAAACGCAAGAAAAGCCCACGCAUUCCCGACCUGUACUCUACUAUGUUGCGACCGAGGACAGUUGCGUUUUAGGAGGAAAGAGUUAACACGCAAAAUAAUACAAUUUCCCAGACAGAAGAAAAGAUUGCACAACAAACAGCAAAGCAAUGCCCUCAAUAAAGUUCAAACGAACUUAGCAACGUACGCUGAGCUUGCACCUUUUGGUCAGCGAUCGUGGGAAUCCAGAACAGCCAAUUUCCAAGUUGAUCGAACUCAACUAAUGCAUACAAUAAAAAUUAAGUAUGGCCAACGGCGACGGCGACCAACAGUAGCAACAAAUUAUAUGAAAGAACGUCAGCAGAAACAUCAUCAGCGGCAGACACGGAGGCAGCGUUGGA
This is a long non-coding RNA of Drosophila gunungcola (fruit fly), 814 nucleotides long. RefSeq lists it as uncharacterized. The record is from RefSeq and is a predicted model, not a curated record. NCBI's taxonomy places the organism in Eukaryota, Metazoa, Arthropoda, Insecta, Diptera, Drosophilidae. The transcript has 3 exons.